Long non-coding RNA from Alligator mississippiensis (American alligator), 2257 nucleotides. RefSeq lists it as uncharacterized. The record is from RefSeq and is a predicted model, not a curated record. Lineage: Eukaryota; Metazoa; Chordata; Crocodylia; Alligatoridae. The transcript has 2 exons.
AAAGCUGCAAAAAAGAGACUGUCUGUGAGCAAGGAACCAUGAAGAGCUGCCUCCUUUCCCUUUUCCUAGUCUUCUGAGAACCUAAAAGCUAGUUUUUUCCUCCAUCUCAGCUACCACGUAUGCGAAAGCCACAGAGAAGGUGCACCAUUUUCCUGGGAGCUCAUCUAGCCAUCCCUGCCCCAAGCCAUGGCCUCACAGAGGUGUGGAUUUCCCCAGCUCGAUGCAACACUGCUCUGACACAUGUGAUGCCUUCAAACUCCAAAGCAUCUCAUCCUGAGAGAACUGCCCAGUCAUCCCAAGAAUCAGCUCUAAACCCACGGUCACCUUGCCCAGUAGAUCUUACCCUAAUGCUUUUAUGCUUCAGAGCCAGGGAAUGAAUCCAGGACUCGGGCUUUAAUAUAACAAAAAGAAUCAUCGAAAAGUUGUCAUCAGACUUACCUUGCUCAGAUACAAGGACAAGGUCUCAGAAGUGUCAGUGAGCGAAUGAGGUGUGCUGGGAUGGGAGAGCUUUUAUACGCUUGCGAGCGGAGGUCUGGGGAAUACGACAGCCCUUGGCAAUGCCCAGCUAAUUUUUUAAUUUCCUAAACACAUGUCUCUGUCUGUCCCUCUUCCGGCAUCCACACUUUGACUCAUCCUUUGUGCUACAAUAACUUAAUCCUAAGGCUGAUUAAGAGCAAAGGGAUCUUCCCGUGGCACGUGAGAUGACGGGAGUGCACAGAGGUGUGUCUAGCAGUGCUAAUUGUGCCGCUGUGGCAUGCCAUGCCCGUUGACGACCCGCAUUGAGCCAGUGGAGGGAACGUUUGCAAGUGACACGUGUUGACUUGGAGCAGUGUGCUAAGCCUUUGGAGCAGGCAGAGCUCAAGGUCUUUUUUAAUAUCAUAAGGCAGUGUAAUUACAUGGUGCAUUUCAUUCGCAUGCCAUUGACCUUUGGGUGCUGUGCCCAGGGGCUCCCUAUGAGGACACGUCAGAGCUAAGAACAGAAUUAAGCAGGUCCCAAUUUCCAGUUUUAUACUUGAUGUUCGACACAACUCUGCUGCGGAGAGCAGCUGCUGGUCUACUGUUGAAGUGGCUGGUUCUCCUCCAGGUUUGCAAGGCUGUACCAGGGGAGGGAUCUGCACAUCCUAGAAGCCUGAAGGGUUCAGAGUGUGGGGAUGUGGGAUUUCCAUGUGGCCUAAGGUAGGGCUGCUGUAGCCUUGGCAUGUCAAAUCCCACCAAAGAGGGACUGAAUUCCAGUAUAAAAAUAUUAAUAACUCAGAGGGUUACAGAGUCGUCAGGACAUGGGACCUGGACUCUGGAAAUUCUUCGUUCUAUUUUGGGCUCAGACAAUCCUUCAUGGGGGCUUUGCCCCUAAACAAGACUGCUUGACUGCCCUGUCCCCAAAUGCCAUGCAAAUGAGCUGUAGCUGGAAAUCACCUUCCCAUGUGACAUAGCAAAAACAAUUCUAGGCCACAACGUGCCCGGAGACCAAAGCCUGCUGCUGGGAGGCAAAUGUGGAAAUAUCUUUUGAACAUUAUCAUUAUUCAUUAAUUAGCAAUGUGCUAAGAUUAUCAUGGACCAGAAUGCAUGUCAAGGAGCAAAGUGGGACGAAGGAUCCAGAAGACACACGUGGGCCCCGGCAUGUGAAGAAUGAAGGCCGUAUCGUCAGCAGGUGUCUCAUUUCCUGCAGAACGGGCUGCACCGGGAUAAAAGGGCCCCAGUGGCAGUGCUCCUCAUUCACUCACUGCUGCUCCUUUGCACCAGGCCUUCUUCCCAAACAAGCUUUGCCUACGCCAGAAAGAUGUGCUCCCACGGGUCCUGCCACAACCGCCACAGGUCCUGCCAUGGCUCCAGCUCUCACUGCCACGAGUCCAGACCCUCCUGCAAUAUUGUUGUGGUAGAGAAACCAUACUGCUGCCCUGUGCCACGCUACUGUCCACCCGUGUCCUGCUGCUACCCACGCUACCAGUAUUCACAGUGCUGCAAGUUCCCACAGUACCCCAAGUACCCACAGUACCCCAAGUAGGAAACACGGCUCCAGGAAGACCUUCAUGUUCUACUCGUCCCAUUAUGGAGGUGGUCCCAGUGCCUACUGGUCAUCUGGUCUUGUUUCACAGAUUGUAAUUUCCUGUUUUCUUUCAUCUUUGAUUGUCUGUAACCUGCCCUGAAGAUGUGCCCACUGUGUAAGUGUGAUGAAACCUUUACUAAGGAUCAUUUCUCUUCUCAUUCAUUGUUCUCCUGUUGGAUAAAAGAGUAAUAAUAAAACUUAUUAUUCAAGGAA